GACGAACGCUGGCGGCGUGCCUAAUACAUGCAAGUCGAACGCAGUGGGGACGGGUGAGUAACACGUGGCUAACCUCCCAUCAGAGGGGAUAACACUUGGAAACAGGUGCUAAACCGAUACUGAUGGAUGGACCCGCGGUGCAUUAGCUAGUUGGUGAGGUAACGGCUCACCAAGGCCACGAUGCAUAGCCGGCCGGAGAGGGUGAGCGGCCACACUGGGACUGAGAAACGGCCCAGACUCCUACGGGAGGCAGCAGUAGGGAAUAUUCGACAAUGGACGAAAGUCUGACCGAGCCACGCCGCGUGAGUGAAGAAGGUUUUAGGAUCGUAAAGCUCUGUUGUUAGAGAAGCGGUAUCUAACCAGAAAGCCACGGCUAACUACGUGCCAGCAGCCGCGGUAAUAC
This 403-nucleotide ribosomal RNA is filed under the name uncultured bacterium. RNAcentral's name for it is "partial 16S ribosomal RNA". It matches the Rfam family "Bacterial small subunit ribosomal RNA", at positions 28 to 526 of the family's 1533-position model. The record is from RNAcentral.